GAUGAACGCUGGCGGCGUGCUUAACACAUGCAAGUCGAACGGAAAGGCCAUGAGUUUGUGGGGUGCUCGAGUGGCGAACGGGUGAGUAACACGUGAGUAAACCGUCCCUGUAAUUGGGAUAACAUCAGGAAACUGGGGCUAAUACAGGAUAGGAGCUCCUGCUGCAUGGUGGGGGUUGGAAAGAUUCGGCUGUGGGGGAUGGAAUCGCGGCUUAUCAGCUGGUUGGUGGGGUAGUGGAUUACCAAGGGUUCGAGGGGUAGCCGGCCUGAGAGGGUGAACGGCCACAAUAGGACUGAGAGACGCCCCAGUCUCCUACGGGAGGCAACGGGGGGGAAUAUUGCAGAAUGGGCGGAAGCCUGAGACAGCGACGCCGCGUGCGGGAUGACGGCCUACGGGUUGUAAACCGCUUUCGCCUGUGACGAAGCGUGAGUGACGGUAAUGGGUAAAGAAGCACCGGCUAACUACGUG
This 468-nucleotide ribosomal RNA is filed under the name uncultured bacterium. Its description in RNAcentral is "partial 16S ribosomal RNA". It matches the Rfam family "Bacterial small subunit ribosomal RNA", at positions 28 to 507 of the family's 1533-position model. The record is from RNAcentral.